This 120-nucleotide ribosomal RNA is filed under the name Vibrio parahaemolyticus. Its description in RNAcentral is "partial 23S ribosomal RNA". The record is from RNAcentral. Lineage: Bacteria; Pseudomonadati; Pseudomonadota; Gammaproteobacteria; Vibrionales; Vibrionaceae.
GGACGGUUGUCCAGGUUCAAGUGCGUAGGCUUAAGAGUUAGGUAAAUCCGGCUCUUUUUAAGGCGAGACACGACGUCGAGCACCUACGGGUGUGAAGUCAUUGAUGCCAUGCUUCCAGGA